UGCAGGUUGCAUUCUGUCGCCCCCUCCAUGUAGUUUCAUGGGGAAUGGCGGUUAGAAAGGAAAGAAGGGGAAAAAAAAAAUAACUACAAGCAACGACUUGAGUAACGUAACUCGUGAUAUAACUUUAACCCAGUCCAGGGAAGGACACAUGUACCCGGACAGGAAUAAUAAAUAUACCGAGGCGGUUGGAUGUUCAAUUGUAUGUAACCCGUCGGAGCCCCGUCGUAUCGGAUAGGGUUUAAGAUCCUGGGGUUGAGCAGCCAAUCGCAAUGUUUUGGCCCCGAGUUAAGCAACGAGAAGGAUCAUGACG
This 310-nucleotide small RNA is filed under the name Histoplasma capsulatum. Its description in RNAcentral is "hypothetical RNA". The record is from RNAcentral. Lineage: Eukaryota; Fungi; Ascomycota; Eurotiomycetes; Onygenales; Ajellomycetaceae. RNAcentral also lists the same sequence under 1 other name.